Molecule: unclassified non-coding RNA, 2206 nt
Filed under: Zea mays
Lineage: Eukaryota; Viridiplantae; Streptophyta; Magnoliopsida; Poales; Poaceae
Description: misc RNA Zm00001eb116600
Source: RNAcentral
AGAGCAUGUGCAGAAAACAAGCUCAUAAUCGACACACACCUAACAGAGUAACAGACACCAAACAACGCCCAUCACUCGCGCCGUACAUCCUGCCUCCUCCCGCGCGCGCGCGCGCGUGCACGCUAGCUAGCUGCCGGUCGCCUCGCCACCAUGGUGUUCGACGCGAGCGGCAGCAGGUCGGCGGCGGCGGCGUCGGGGAACCCUCUCCGCGUGAUCCUGACGCGCGGGUUCGCGCGGCAGGUGCUCGCGGGGCGGUGGUUGACGGUGUUCGCGAGCCUGCUCAUCAUGGCGUCGUCCGGCGCGACGUACAUCUUCGGGAGCUACUCCGGCACGCUCAAGUCGUCGCUCGGGUACGACCAGCGCACGCUCAACACCGUGUCCUUCUUCAAGGACCUCGGCGCCAACCUGGGCGUCUUCUCGGGGCUCAUCAACGAGGUGACCCCGCCGUGGGUGGUGCUGGCCAUGGGCGCCGCCAUGAACCUGUCCGGGUACCUCAUGGUGUACCUGGCCGUGUCCGGGCGCACCGCGCCGCCGCCGCUGUGGCUCGUGUGCCUCUACUUCUUCGUGGGCGCCAACUCGCAGUCGUUCGCCAACACCGGCGCGCUGGUGACCUGCGUCAAGAACUUCCCCGACAGCCGCGGGGUGGUGCUCGGCAUCCUCAAGGGCUUCGUCGGCCUCAGCGGCGCCGUGUACACGCAGCUGUACCUGGCCCUGUACGGCGGCGACGACGCCGAGUCGCUGAUCCUCCUCGUCGCCUGGCUCCCCGCGGCGGUGUCCGUCGUGUUCGUCCACACCAUCCGGUACAUGCCGUACCCGCGCCGCCGUGGCGGCGGCAGGCAGGAGACGAGCUCCGACUCCGACCCCUUCUUCUGCUUCCUCUACCUCUCCAUCGCGCUGGCGUGCUUCCUCCUCGUCAUGAUCGUGGUGCAGAAGCAGGAGUACAAGAUCUACCGGGAGCGCCAGCUCGACGCGGCCGACCCGCCGCCGCCGACCAUCAUCUCCGCGUCGGCAACGGACGCCAGCAAGAAAACAGAGCAGCAGCCGGCGCCGGCGCCGCCGCCGACGACGUCGUCGUUCUGUGGGUGCGUGAGGACCAUGUUCCGUCCGCCGGCUCGUGGGGAGGACUACACGAUCCUGCAGGCGCUGGUGAGCGUGGACAUGCUGGUGCUGUUCGUGGCGACAAUCUGCGGCGUGGGCGGGACGCUGACGGCGAUCGACAACAUGGGGCAGAUCGGCGAGUCGCUGGGCUACCCCGCCAGGAGCGUCAACACGUUCGUGUCCCUGAUCAGCAUCUGGAACUACGCGGGGCGCGUGACGGCGGGCUACGCCUCGGAGGCGGCGCUGGCCCGGUACCGCGUGCCGCGGCCGCUGCUGCUGACGUGCGUGCUGGCGCUGGCGUGCGCGGGGCACGUGCUGAUCGCGCUGGGCGCGCCGCGGUCCCUGUACGCGGCGUCGGUGGUCGUCGGGUUCUGCUUCGGCGCGCAGUGGCCGCUGGUGUUCGCCAUCAUCUCGGAGGUGUUCGGGCUCAAGUACUACUCCACGCUCUACAACUUGGGCGGCAUGGCCAGCCCCGUGGGCUCCUACAUCCUGAACGUGCGCGUGGCGGGGCGGCUCUACGACGCGGCGGCCGCGCAGCAGCGCGGCCGCGGCAGGAUCUGCCUCGGGGUGGAGUGCUACCGGCGGUCGUUCCUGAUCGUCACGGCGGCCACGGUGGUCGGCGCGCUGGUGUCGCUGGUGCUGGUGUGGCGGACGUGGACGUUCUACAGGGGCGACAUAUACGCGAGGUUCCGGGACGGAGACGAGGGCCCGGGGCGGGACGGGCGCCUGCCGGUCGACCAGAAACGGGAGGAGGAGGAGAGGGAGAAGGCGGCGGCCAACGGCAGGAAGGCGUGAGGUGGUGAGCGGGAGCGGGAAGGCAUGGUCAGGGACGACGACGGGUGGGGUGUACAUGUACAUGUGAAUAUAGUACUUUUUUGUUGCAUUCACCCGUGAUGACCGACCCUUGUUACCUUUCAAAUUUAAAUAGCCUAAAAAAAGCCUUCUUGUCCGUUUCCACUGCCGUCCAGUCCAAUCCAUGGUGCCUGCUGGGCAACUGGCAAGGGAUGGCGCCGUGCAACUCCUACCGAGGGGAAGCUGUGGCGCAGGCAAGUGAUGUCUGUCGUUUGUCGAUGGUAAAUAAAAGUCACGGGCCCGUGUCCUACCGAGC